GAUGAAGAACGUAGCGAAAAGCGAUAAGUAAUGUGAAUUACAGAAUUCAGUGAAUCAUCGAAUCUUUGAACGCACAUUGCGCCCGCCAGUAUUCUGGCGGGCAUGCCUGUCCGAGCGUCAUUUCAACCAUCAAGCCUCGUGCUUGUGUUGGGGACCUGCGUCCGACGCAGGCCCUGAAAACCAGUGGCGGGCUCGCUGUCCACACCGAGCGUAGUAACUAACCUCGCUAUGGAGUGGCGCGGGCGCCUGCCGUAAAACCCCCAAUUUCACAAGGUUGACCUCGGAUCAGGUAGGAAUACCCGCUGAACUUAAGCAUAUCAAUAAGCGGAGGA
This 332-nucleotide unclassified non-coding RNA is filed under the name soil metagenome. RNAcentral describes it as "partial contains 5.8S ribosomal RNA, internal transcribed spacer 2, and large subunit ribosomal RNA". The stretch from base 1 to 120 matches the Rfam family "5.8S ribosomal RNA", at positions 35 to 154 of the family's 154-position model. The record is from RNAcentral.